Molecule: ribosomal RNA, 493 nt
Filed under: uncultured bacterium
Lineage: Bacteria
Description: partial 16S ribosomal RNA
Rfam family: Bacterial small subunit ribosomal RNA
Source: RNAcentral
GAUGAACGCUGGCGGCGUGCCUAAUACAUGCAAGUCGAACGGACAGAUUCCGGUCGUUCACCACUGGGAAUGGCUAGUGGCGGACGGGUGAGAAAUGCGUGGGCUAUCUGCCACUCAGUCCUGGAUAACAGAGACCAAGUUCUGUUCAGACUGAUUACUUUAUCCUCGCCGCUUGGUUGUUAAAGGAAAUGUAACUCUUACGGAUGAGUCCGUGUCCCAUUAGCUAGUUGGUUAGGUAACGGCCUACCAAGGCAACGAUGGGUAGCCGGCCUGAGAGGGUGGACGGCCACACUGGGACUGAGACACGGCCCAGACUCCUACGGGAGGCAGCAGUAGGGAAUCUUCCGCAAUGGGCGAAAGCCUGACGGAGCAACGCCGCGUGAGUGAUGAAGGUCUUCGGAUCGUAAAACUCUGUUAUUAGGGAAGAACAUAUGUGUAAGUAACUGUGCACAUCUUGACGGUACCUAAUCAGAAAGCCACGGCUAACUACGUG